RNAcentral lists this ribosomal RNA (599 nucleotides) under Escherichia coli. RNAcentral's name for it is "partial 23S ribosomal RNA". It matches the Rfam family "Bacterial large subunit ribosomal RNA", at positions 1 to 631 of the family's 2925-position model. Lineage: Bacteria; Pseudomonadati; Pseudomonadota; Gammaproteobacteria; Enterobacterales; Enterobacteriaceae. The record is from RNAcentral.
GGGUUGUGAGGUUAAGCGACUAAGCGUACACGGUGGAUGCCCUGGCAGUCAGAGGCGAUGAAGGACGUGCUAAUCUGCGAUAAGCGUCGGUGAGGUGAUAUGAACCGUUAUAACCGGCGAUUUCCGAAUGGGGAAACCCAGUGUGUUUCGACACACUAUCAUUAACUGAAUCCAUAGGUUAAUGAGGCGAACCGGGGGAACUGAAACAUCUAAGUACCCCGAGGAAAAGAAAUCAACCGAGAUUCCCCCAGUAGCGGCGAGCGAACGGGGAGGAGCCCAGAGCCUGAAUCAGUGUGUGUGUUAGUGGAAGCGUCUGGAAAGGCGUGCGAUACAGGGUGACAGCCCCGUACACAAAAAUGCACAUAUUGUGAGCUCGAUGAGUAGGGCGGGACACGUGGUAUCCUGUCUGAAUAUGGGGGGACCAUCCUCCAAGGCUAAAUACUCCUGACUGACCGAUAGUGAACCAGUACCGUGAGGGAAAGGCGAAAAGAACCCCGGCGAGGGGAGUGAAAAAGAACCUGAAACCGUGUACGUACAAGCAGUGGGAGCCUCUUAAUGGGGUGACUGCGUACCUUUUGUAUAAUGGGUCAGCGACUUAU